UAAACCGUAGCUCAUACCGAGUCACUGACAUAUCUCCCUGAGUCAACCACUCGAACUGAUGACACAACUCCUCCAUGCGAGACUGGGGCACAUACUUCUCCAAAAAUACCGUGGAGAACUGCUGCCAAGUGAGGGGCACUGCUCUAAUAGGCCUACGCCUCUCGAACUUUUCCCACCAAGCAAAUGCAGCUCCUGUGAACUAGAAGGUGGUAAAAGCCACUCCAUUAGAUUCCUGAAUACCCGCAAUAGGAAGCAUCGGCUGGCAUUUAUCAAGAAAAACCUGCGCAUCCUCCUCAGCACCACUAAAUGUCAAAGGCCGGAGCCUAUUGAACCUUUCCAAACGUCGCUGCUCGUCAUCCGGCAUAACAG
Molecule: long non-coding RNA, 369 nt
Filed under: Nicotiana benthamiana
Lineage: Eukaryota; Viridiplantae; Streptophyta; Magnoliopsida; Solanales; Solanaceae
Description: long non-coding RNA (NBEN_LNC034790)
Source: RNAcentral